Molecule: ribosomal RNA, 301 nt
Filed under: uncultured bacterium
Lineage: Bacteria
Description: partial 16S ribosomal RNA
Rfam family: Bacterial small subunit ribosomal RNA
Source: RNAcentral
CAGUAGCCGCGGGAAUACGAAGGGUGCAAGCGUUACUCGGAAUUACUGGGCGUAAAGCGUGCGUAGGUGGUGGUUUAAGUCCGUUGUGAAAGCCCUGGGCUCAACCUGGGAAUUGCAGUGGAUACUGGGUCACUAGAGUGUGGUAGAGGAUAGUGGAAUUUCCGGUGUAGCAGUGAAAUGCGUAGAGAUCGGAAGGAACAUCUGUGGCGAAGGCGACUAUCUGGGCCAACACUGACACUGAGGCACGAAAGCGUGGGGAGCAAACAGGAUUAGAACCCCGGUAGUCCCUGUCUCUUAUACA